Molecule: non-coding RNA, 29 nt
Filed under: Drosophila melanogaster (fruit fly)
Lineage: Eukaryota; Metazoa; Arthropoda; Insecta; Diptera; Drosophilidae
Source: RNAcentral
UGAGAUUAUAAUUGAUGGUGUAUACUCAA